CAACCUCAUCUCUCAGCUUUUUUGUAAAAGAAGGCUGUCUGGAGAUGGUGAUGGACGCUUGCCUGACUGCAUAAGUCUGGCUCGUCUGAAAUAUAUCAGUAGCUCUUAUCGAGCCCGGUCUGACUAUGUGUGAUAAUUUGAUCGCAUAGGAUGUGCUUGCACAACCGGAUCUCUUAGCAGAGUCUGCUUCCAACUCGGAAUGGUUAGAGAGGAACUUUCUGCCAUCGACAGCUUUAUUU
This 239-nucleotide unclassified non-coding RNA is filed under the name uncultured Tilletia. RNAcentral describes it as "sequence contains ITS2". Lineage: Eukaryota; Fungi; Basidiomycota; Exobasidiomycetes; Tilletiales; Tilletiaceae. The record is from RNAcentral.